CAUACCAAGAGAUAUUCAACUUGUCUAGGUUGUACCGAUAUCGAAUCCCGGAAGCGGAAUUUUUUGUUUUUUUUAUAGCCUUCCUUAUCGUGAUGUCCGUCGAACUCCAAUAAUCAACUUGGCUAAAUAGUUCGGUUUGUAGCCUUAAUUUAUGUACUCACAAUCGACCGUUGGAGAGUAGAGACAGAAACAAUGGUGAUCCUGAGAAAGAGAGAGAGAGACCGAACCCUAGAAACUCCAUCGAACUCCAAUAACCAGCGAUAAUGGCGAAACCCGGACACAGGCCAAGGAAACCCACAAGGUUUCAGGCUACGAGCGGUCCAGAGAGGAGAUAAUCAGAGAGAACCAUAAAUCUCGGCAUUGUCGAUCUCCCUGAAACUCAACUCUCUCAGUUCCCCUCAGCAUCUCUCUCCUCUGCCGCUGCCUUCUGGACCCCCUCACCACUCUUCCCGGAUUCUGCAACACCAGUUAGCUUCUCUGAAGCACCUUUGGCUAAGAAAGAUAAAUCUUUGGAUGGUGAAGUUGAUUUAAUAGGGGAGGGAUCCAGGCCAGAGGUUUACACAGAAGAACAUGAAAAGCUGCUGGGAAGCAUUGAGACUCUAUUUGUAGAUGGAUGGGACAAGGAUGGGAGGCGAAUUUAUGAUCAAGUCAACGGAAAAACUUGCCAUCAGUGCAGGCAGAAAACCCCUGGUCAUCGUACUCACUGCAGCAAAUGCAACUUGGUUCAAGGACAGUUUUGUGGAGAUUGUUUAUAUAUGAGGUGUCUGAAGAGAUCAUAUAUUAUUAUAUGAUCCAUAGUGCCAUACUUCCAGUAUAUUAUGUGGUAUUCAGUUUUCAAUCGCCAAGCAAUGCCAAUCCCCCCUUCACUUUUAUCACCUUCUGGAAUUUGCUAGAUUUUAUUAACUUUCUCAUCUUUAUUUUAUGUUGGUAAUCUUUACUCAGAUCCACCCUCAACUGCUAAUGAACAUAUUAUUUCUUGGUUGCCCUACUUUUAGGUUAUAUAAUCGUUUAAGCAACACUAUGAUGAUUUGGCUUGCCUGUGUUACUCGGACUAGGGUACGGAUGCGUAUCUAGGGAUCGGAUUUGUCAAUCUAUCAAAUUAUAGGAUACACGCAUUCGGCUAAAAAAUGUCCAAUAUUUCUUGGACGCAUCUAAGGAAAAAAAUUGUAUGAUUUUUUAUGCAUAAUUUUCUUUACAUAUAGAUAC
Long non-coding RNA from Cornus florida, 1206 nucleotides. RefSeq lists it as uncharacterized. The transcript is spliced from 4 exons. NCBI's taxonomy places the organism in Eukaryota, Viridiplantae, Streptophyta, Magnoliopsida, Cornales, Cornaceae. The record is from RefSeq and is a predicted model, not a curated record.